Molecule: ribosomal RNA, 467 nt
Filed under: uncultured bacterium
Lineage: Bacteria
Description: partial 16S ribosomal RNA
Rfam family: Bacterial small subunit ribosomal RNA
Source: RNAcentral
GACGAACGCUGGCAGCGUGCUUAACACAUGCAAGUCGAACGGAAAGGCUCCAGCUGGCUGGAGUACUCGAGGGGCGAACGGGUGAGUAACACGUGGGUAAGCUGCCCUGCACUCUGGGAUAAGCCUGGGAAACUGGGUCUAAUACAGGAGAUGACCGUGCUCCUUAGGGGGAUCGGUGGAAAGUUUGCCGUUGUAGGAUGAGCCGGCGGCCUAUCAGCUUGGUGGGGGGGUGAUGGCCUACGAAGGCGACGACGGGUAGCCGGCCUGGGAGGGUGAGCGGCCACCUGGGGCCUGCGGUACGGCCCAGACUCCUACGGGGGGCAGCAGUGGGGAGUCUUGCCCAAUGGGCGGACGCCUGAUGCAGCGGCGCUGCGUGAGGGAUGACGGCCUUCGGGUUGUAAACCUCUUUCAGCUGGGACGAAGCGUAAGUGACGGUACCUGCAGAAGAAGCACCGGCUAACUAUGUG